RNAcentral lists this long non-coding RNA (253 nucleotides) under Mytilus galloprovincialis (Mediterranean mussel). Lineage: Eukaryota; Metazoa; Mollusca; Bivalvia; Mytilida; Mytilidae. The record is from RNAcentral.
AUAUUCCAAAUAUCUAAGCGACAUCUUCUGAAACAUCAAUACUACGCAAGAAAAAAAUUUAGGCGGAAGAAAAAAAAAAAAAAAAUAAUAAUAAUCAGAACAAAUACAAUAGGUCUUUCCACGGAAAAGUGGAAAGACCUAAUAAUCAGAACAAAUUCAAUAGGUCUUUCCACGGAAAGGUGGAAAGACCUAAUAAUAAUCAGAACAAAACCUAUAGGUCUUUCCACGGAAAGGUGGAAAGACCUAAUUAAAA